GUUGGUGAUGGUGACAACAUGGAGAGUGACGAGGAUGUGACUGCACUAUCUUCUGGCACGCAGAUGCCCAGGACAUGAGCAUGCAGGGGCCAGAAGGCCUCACCUUAAACUGAGCUGGGUAGAAGAAGCACUGAGAACGGCCAUCUGGGACAGGCACUACUGCUUUUCAUUGAAAGAAGAAUAUUAUUUCAAUGCCUUUGAGCACAAAGGUCAGGGAAAUUACACACACACGUGCUUUAAAUCCUGUUGCCAGGUAAGCAUAUUAUUUCCUAUUUUGAGGCAAGAAUUCAUGGACUCCUUUCAAAGUGCGGUAUUCUCCUUUUCAGGACUUGUCAGCAAAGGUUUUUUUUUUCCUCAAGCAACUCUUUUAUAAUACCAUGUUCCCCCAAAGGUAAGACCUAGCUGAAAAAUGAUUAGGCCUGAAAACCAGAGAUCAAAAAUGCCAGCCCCAAUCAGUUGGAUGAGGACCAAAUCAAAUUCAAUGUUUGGGUUCAAUGUUGACCUUAUGGGAAAGUUUGUUUGAUGCAGCUCUUUUUUCAGUUUGAUUUGUGAUCAGAAUCGUGGUGAGAACUGAGUCCCUCAACCAAGGUACCACUGUAUUGUCUAGUGAUGCAACCAUAUUAGAGUAACCCAGGAGGAAAUACCAUGUCCUGAGGAGUCCUACUUUUUCACAGAGAAC
Molecule: long non-coding RNA, 679 nt
Filed under: Fukomys damarensis (Damara mole-rat)
Lineage: Eukaryota; Metazoa; Chordata; Mammalia; Rodentia; Bathyergidae
Description: lncRNA (ENSFDAG00000028123.1)
Source: RNAcentral